UACGUAGGGAGCAAGCGUUGUUCGGAUUUACUGGGCGUAAAGGGCGCGUAGGCGGCAAUUCAAGUCAUCUGUGAAAUCUCCGGGCUUAACCCGGAAAGGUCAGCCGAUACUGCGGGGCUAGAGUGCAGAAGGGGCAACUGGAAUUCUCGGUGUAGCGGUGAAAUGCGUAGAUAUCGAGAGGAACACCUGCGGCGAAGGCGGGUUGCUGGGCUGACACUGACGCUGAGGCGCGAAAGCUAGGGGAGCGAACGGG
This 253-nucleotide ribosomal RNA is filed under the name uncultured bacterium. RNAcentral's name for it is "partial 16S ribosomal RNA". It matches the Rfam family "Bacterial small subunit ribosomal RNA", at positions 524 to 776 of the family's 1533-position model. The record is from RNAcentral.